This 293-nucleotide ribosomal RNA is filed under the name uncultured bacterium. RNAcentral describes it as "partial 16S ribosomal RNA". It matches the Rfam family "Bacterial small subunit ribosomal RNA", at positions 505 to 796 of the family's 1533-position model. The record is from RNAcentral.
GUGCCAGCAGCCGCGGUAAUACAGAGGUGCCAAGCGUUAGGCGGAAUCACUGGGCUUAAAGCGCGUGUAGGUGGGUCGUUAAGUGUCCGCGUGAAAUCCCACGGCUCAACCGUGGAACUGCCGGGCAUACUGGCGAUCUUGAGGCAUUCAGGGGCGAGCGGAACAAAUGGUGGAGCGGUGAAAUGCGUAGAUAUCAUUUGGAACGCCAAUGGUGAAAACAGCUCGCUGGGAAUGAUCUGACACUGAGACGCGAAAGCCAGGGGAGCGAACGGGAUUAGAUACCCCAGUAGUCC